Molecule: ribosomal RNA, 253 nt
Filed under: uncultured bacterium
Lineage: Bacteria
Description: partial 16S ribosomal RNA
Rfam family: Bacterial small subunit ribosomal RNA
Source: RNAcentral
UACGUAGGGGGCUAGCGUUGUCCGGAAUCAUUGGGCGUAAAGCGCGCGUAGGUGGCCCGGUAAGUCCGCUCUGAAAGUCCAGGGCUCAACCCUGGAAAGCGGGUGGAUACUGCCGGGCUAGAAUCCGGAAGAGGCGAGUGGAAUUCCUGGUGUAGCGGUGGAAUGCGCAGAUAUCAGGAGGAACACCAGUGGCGAAGGCGGUGCUCUGGGCCGGAACUGACGCUGAGGAACGAAAGCCAGGGUAGCGAACGGG